RNAcentral lists this ribosomal RNA (497 nucleotides) under uncultured bacterium. RNAcentral's name for it is "partial 16S ribosomal RNA". It matches the Rfam family "Bacterial small subunit ribosomal RNA", at positions 28 to 507 of the family's 1533-position model. The record is from RNAcentral.
GAUGAACGCUGGCGGCGUGCCUAAUACAUGCAAGUCGAGCGAACGGACGAGAAGCUUGCUUCUCUGAUGUUAGCGGCGGACGGGUGAGUAACACGUGGAUAACCUACCUAUAAGACUGGGAUAACUUCGGGAAACCGGAGCUAAUACCGGAUAAUAUUUUGAACCGCAUGGUUCAAAAGUGAAAGACGGUCUUGCUGUCACUUAUAGAUGGAUCCGCGCUGCAUUAGCUAGUUGGUAAGGUAACGGCUUACAAAGGCAACGAUGCAUAGCCGACCUGAGAGGGUGAUCGGCCACCCUGGAACUGAGACACGGUCCAGACUCCUACGGGAGGCAGCAGUAGGGAAUCUUCCGCAAUGGGCGAAAGCCUGACGGAGCAACGCCGCGUGAGUGAUGAAGGUCUUCGGAUCGUAAAACUCUGUUAUUAGGGAAGAACAUAUGUGUAAGUAACUGUGCACAUCUUGACGGUACCUAAUCAGAAAGCCACGGCUAACUACGUG